Molecule: long non-coding RNA, 1048 nt
Filed under: Olea europaea (common olive)
Lineage: Eukaryota; Viridiplantae; Streptophyta; Magnoliopsida; Lamiales; Oleaceae
Description: long non-coding RNA (OEUR_LNC001514)
Source: RNAcentral
CUGUAUCUAGGCACCCUUCACGCCCAGCAAGCCGAAAUGCUUUUGGUGAGAAUGUAGAUAACAUUGGUUCAGCAGAGGCUGAGCUGGUUCAUAUGCGUCAUAAAUUGACAUCUGCAGACCCUGUACGCUCUGCUUCAAAUGUUCAGACCUCAUCUGCUUCUCAACAUGUUGGACCGCCCACAUCAUAUUCUUAUGCUGCUGCUUUGGGAGCUUCCUUGUCAAGAAGCUCCACUCCUGAUCCUCAACACAUUGCUCGGGCUCCUAGUCCUUGUCUUACACCCAUUGGAGGAGGCAGGAUAGGAAAUUCUGAAAAAAGAAGCAUUAAUGGCCCUAAUGCCUUAAAUGACACUUCUACUCACAUAAAUGAGUCUACUGACCUGGUAACUGCUUUGUCAGGCAUGGGUCUUUCAGCUAGUUCUAUGGAUGAGGAGAAUAAUUUACCGUCUCGAAUUAAACAAGAAGUUGAUGACCAUGAGAAUUUCUUCAAUCUUCCAGGUGGUCAGAAUAACCUGAAGCAGCAUGCAUACCUGAAGAAAUCUGAAUCUGGGCAAUUCAAUAUGUCUUCUGUUCUUCAGCAUGCAAAAAUGAUGCCUUCUGACGCUGGUGUAAGCAAUGGCGAUGGUUUGGAUGUCAGCAACUCUUCUUUUCAAACUGAGCUGCACAAAACCAGUGCUUCUUCUAAUAAAACAUGGUGGUGUUGUUGGUGGCAGUAGUGGCAAUAGCUCUGCCUUUGCUGAGUAUGCAAGAAAUAAGAGUGGUAAUGGUUUCAUGUCAGAGGAGGAGCUUAGGUCCGAUCCUGCAUAUCUUAGAUAACAUUGGUUCAGCAGAGGCUGAGCUGGUUCAUAUGCGUCAUAAAUUGACAUCUGCAGACCCUGUACGCUCUGCUUCAAAUGUUCAGACCUCAUCUGCUUCUCAACAUGUUGGACCGCCCACAUCAUAUUCUUAUGCUGCUGCUUUGGGAGCUUCCUUGUCAAGAAGCUCCACUCCUGAUCCUCAACACAUUGCUCGGGCUCCUAGUCCUUGUCUUACACCCAUUGGAGGAGGCAGG